This 1286-nucleotide ribosomal RNA is filed under the name Lepidopsocidae sp. RS-2001. RNAcentral describes it as "large subunit ribosomal RNA". Lineage: Eukaryota; Metazoa; Arthropoda; Insecta; Psocodea; Lepidopsocidae. The record is from RNAcentral.
UAAUUUUAAUAUUAUUAUUGAAAUGAAUUAUUUAUUUUUAUUAAAAAAAUUAUUUAUAUUAUUAAAAAUUUUAGUAAAUUUUAUUUAAAUUAAAUUUAAAAUUAUAAUUAAUAAUUACUGAAAAGUAAAUAUUUUAUUUUUUAAAAAGUAUAUUUAAUUAGUAGUACCUUUUGUAUCAGGGUUUAAUGAAUAUUUUUUUUUAAAAUAUAUUUUCCCGAAUAUAAAUGAUUUAUUUAAUUAUUUUUUACAUGUAACAAAUGUUUAAAAAUAAUUUAAUUGGAAUGAAAAGUUAAUCGUUUUUAUAGAUUUCUGGUUUUUUUAUAAAUAAAUUUAAUUUAUUAAUUUAUAGUUAAUAUUUAAUUUUUUAAGUAUUUAAUUAAAAAUUUAUAAUGUUUAUAAAGAUAAUUUUAUAAAUAUUUAAUAUAAAGUUUAAUUUAAAAUUGUACUAGGAUUAAUAUUUUCUUUUUAAAAUAUGUUUUAAUAAAUGUUUUUUUAUUAUUUUUUAUUUUUCUAUUAUUUAAAUUUAUAUAAAAAUUUUUAAUUUAAUUUUUAAAUUUUAUUAAUAAUUUUAGAAUUAGUAUAUAAUAAAAUUUAAAAAUUUAUUUUAAUUUAAAUUAAGGAAUUCGGCAAAAUAAAUUUUCGCCUGUUUAUCAAAAACAUGUUUUUUUGAAAUUAUAAUUUAAAAUUUAAUCUGCUCACUGAUAAAUAUUAAAGAGCCGCAGUAUUUUGACUGUGCAAAGGUAGCAUAAUAAAUAGUUUUUUAAUUGAUAACUGGAAUGAAAGAUUGGAUGAAAAAUUGACUGUCUUCAAUUUUAUUUUUAGAAUUUAAUUUUUUAGUUAAAAAGCUAAAAUUUUUUUAUAAGACGAGAAGACCCUAUAGAUUUUUAUUUUAUUUUAUUUAAUUUAUGUUUAUUAUUAAUUAAUUAAUUUUAAUAAAAUUUUAUUGGGGUGAUAUUAAAAUAUAAAUAACUUUUAAAAUUAUGAAUUAUUAAUAUGUAAAUUUUUGAUCCUUUUUUUUGAUUAAUAGAUUAAAUUACCUUAGGGAUAACAGCGUAAUUUAACUGGAAAGUUCUUAUUGAAAGUUAAGUUUGCGACCUCGAUGUUGAAUUAAAAUAAUUAAUGGGAGUAGAAGAUCAUUUAAUUAGUCUGUUCGACUAUUAAAAUUUUACAUGAUUUGAGUUCAGACCGGCGUGAGCCAGGUCAGUUUCUAUCUUUAAAUAAAUAUGAUUAAUUUAGUACGAAAGGAUUAAUUAAUUAAAUAAUAUUUUUUUAUUUUGAAUUAAAUU